CCUGGCCGAGCGCGCGCGCGCCGACUGGGGCCACGCGCCCGACGCCAUCUGGAAAAUAUUCAGAUACUUGAAGAACAAGACGAGAGAAGACGAUCUGCUUGGACUAUGAAAAUGAAGAUACCUCCCAGUUACUACUGGAAUCAAAUUUAGACUGAUGUGUUUAUAAACUACUCACUACAAAUCCACCACAAUGCAUCGCAACUUGAUCUCUUUCAAAUAAAAACGAUAUUUUUAAGUCGAAAAUAUAAAAUCGGAAUUAUAAUCCCUUUUAUACAAAAUAAUAAGCUUUAACAAACAUUUCAUUUUAGACAUAUUUCCGCAGAUUUUCUAUUCGUUAUAUCUUCCAGUAUUCUUCUUUUCAACACUAAGUAUGAAUUGAUUUAAAAAAACACCAAAAUACUCUUUACAAUACUUUGUCAUAAGCGUAUUAAAACAUUCCUAAAAUAAUUUCAUAAUAAAACUUUUAUUACUAACUUCGACACCAACGUUUCAUAGACUGAGUUGUACGUGCUUUAGAUGCUCAAACUAAUCUAACAUUUUUAACAUCGUUGUUUUAUAAUUAUUGUACAAAUUUAUUGUUAAUACAAUUGGCAUAAGCUUGCUAUAAGUAAAAAUAAUGUAUAUUUGUUUGAAUUCAUUAAUAACAAUAAAAUGACUUAUAAUAUGAUAAUUAUUAUUCAGUAGAACAACAGGAAAUUAUUAGUUGUAAUUGAAAUUUAAUGGAAAUCAAGGCAACCGCUUGACUGCGCAAAUUACUGCAUAUUGAAGUGCAAUAUUUGCGCAUAUCUUUAUAUCCCAUAAUGCAAUUUGAUGUAAAAUAAAAAUGUUUUUAAUGUCUUUAAGUACAAUAUAAGAUUUUGAUGUUACUGUUUAUGUUUAAGUUUUUGACAAAAUUAAAACAUAUUGUGUGAUUUU
This 915-nucleotide unclassified non-coding RNA is filed under the name Melitaea cinxia (Glanville fritillary). RNAcentral describes it as "misc RNA ENSMCXG00005000609.1". Lineage: Eukaryota; Metazoa; Arthropoda; Insecta; Lepidoptera; Nymphalidae. The record is from RNAcentral.